UACGUAGGGGGCGAGCGUUGUCCGGAAUUACUGGGCGUAAAGGGCAAGUAGGCGGGAAGGUAAGUCUGAUGUGAAAGACCCCGGCUCAACCGGAGAAACGCAUUGGAUACUGCCUUUCUUGAGUGGAUGAGAAGAGAGUGGAACUGCCGGUGUAGCGGUGAAAUGCGUAGAUAUCGGUAGGAACAUCGAUGGCGAAAGCAGCUCUCUAGCAUCUUACUGACGCUCAACUGCGAAAGCGUGGGGAGCAAACGGG
This 253-nucleotide unclassified non-coding RNA is filed under the name uncultured bacterium. RNAcentral's name for it is "contains 16S-23S intergenic spacer region". It matches the Rfam family "Bacterial small subunit ribosomal RNA", at positions 524 to 776 of the family's 1533-position model. The record is from RNAcentral.